UGAGUUUGUUCAUACUUCAUUGGAAUAUGAAACAUGGGAUCUAAUACAACCUUGCCAAGGUUGGGGUCGCGGGUUCGAAUCCCGUACGGGUCAU
Molecule: transfer RNA, 94 nt
Filed under: Bacillus thuringiensis serovar kurstaki str. HD-1
Lineage: Bacteria; Bacillati; Bacillota; Bacilli; Caryophanales; Bacillaceae
Description: tRNA-Gly (GCC) (tRNA-Gly-GCC-4-1)
Source: RNAcentral